This is a long non-coding RNA of Diprion similis, 415 nucleotides long. RefSeq lists it as uncharacterized. The transcript is spliced from 3 exons. The record is from RefSeq and is a predicted model, not a curated record. NCBI's taxonomy places the organism in Eukaryota, Metazoa, Arthropoda, Insecta, Hymenoptera, Diprionidae.
CAUACGUCUGGACAGAGCAUGAAUGGUUUGUACGAAAUAAAUAACUGGUAGUUCACUCCAAUAGCAGGUGCAUUGCUCCAUUCCCUUUUCAAAAGUCGUUACACUGACCAAUUUUCCAUAUUAAGGCAUCAACUCGUAGAUGAAAGACGUAGGUGACGUUGGUUUAUACUUACAACUGCUACAGCUCCGCUGCCAAGAACUUCGUCGGGACUAAGAGUGGUGUAGAAAGCAACAUUGGCGAAAACGUAGACGAUUGUGACUAAAGCGCAGGAAAUGCCAAUAGCUCUGGGUAGAUUUCUGCAAGGUAAGAAAAAUGAUGCGCUGACCAAGGCUUGACGCUUGGCUCAAGUCAUCGGGAAGCAUUCCAGAGGUUUCCGAAACUCGACGUCAUAUCAGAUACGGCAUUAUUCAUGGU